CGCGCUGGAGCCCCUGAGGUGUUGGGGGUGGGGACUCCACGCGCGAGGUGACGCCGUGGCUGCACGAGGACAUCCCGGCGCGCGGAGCCCGGUGGUGAGCGCCAUAGUGUGGGAGGCGAGCCUUGGUGCCCUUUAGCUGGUGUGUUUGCCACCUGCUUCCUGGAAGAAAGAACCUCAAUCACUGGACACAGACUCAGGGUCGGAAAGGUGACGUUGUCCUAGGGUCAUAGCUAGUGAGUGACCCUGUGGGGUUGUGGCCUGUCUCAUUUCCCAGUCGCUGCUUUUCAGCUGCUUCCCUGGGUUACCCCGCUUCUGAAAGGGCACCUAAGGGCCAGAGUGGAAAUCCGACUUCCGACCGACAGUUCUCCAGGAUUCUGUGGAUCUGAACUCCCUCCUGUACAACAGUUCUCCAGGGUCAUGUGGAUCUGAACUCGCUCCCUUACGACCGUUUUCUAGGAUCCUGUGGGUCUGAUCUCCCUCUCGUACAACAGUUCUCCGUGGUGUGGAUCUGAACUCCCUCCCAUAUGACAGUUCUUGAGGAUGGUGUGGAUCUGACCUCCUUCCCGUACGACAGUUCUCUAGGGGGGUGUGGAUCUGAACUCCCUCCCGUAUGACAGUUCUCUAGGGGGGUGUGGAUCUGAACUCCCUCCCGUAUGACAGUUCCCCAGGAUCCUGUGGAUCUGAACUCCCUCCUGUACCACAGUUCUCCAGGAUUCUGUGGAUCUGAUCUCACUCCUGUACAACAGUUCUCCAGGGUCGUGUGGAUCUGACCUCCCUCCCGUACGACAGUUCUCCGUGGUGUGGAUCUGAGCUCCCUCCCGUAUGACAGUUCUCCAGGAUCCUGUGGAUCUGAACUCCCUCCCAUACGACAGUUCUUGAGGAUGGUGUGGAUCUGACCUCCUUCCCGUACGACAGUUCUCUAGGGGGGUGUGGAUCUGAACUCCCUCCCGUACGACAGUUCCCCAGGGUCCUGUGGUUUUUCUCCUUUUUCAAAUUGAUUGAUUUGCGGAUAUUGAGCUAGCCUGCAUUCCAGGAAUAAAUCCCACUUGGUCGUGGUGAACA
This 1062-nucleotide long non-coding RNA is filed under the name Felis catus (domestic cat). RNAcentral's name for it is "lncRNA (ENSFCAG00000046937.1)". The record is from RNAcentral. Lineage: Eukaryota; Metazoa; Chordata; Mammalia; Carnivora; Felidae.